GAUCGCAAGAACUCCCACGUCAAGAUUGGAAGAUAUCACCAGCAUCUUACAGAGCAGCUGGAACUCGACCUCUCGCCCCUGGAUUACAUGAUGAAGGGUUACCCAGAGAUCAAGGAGAGGGAGGAGAUGAGGAAGAUCAUUGGCCGCUAUGGGCUGACGGGCAAACAGCAGGUCA
Non-coding RNA from Salvelinus sp. IW2-2015, 175 nucleotides. The record is from RefSeq and is a predicted model, not a curated record. NCBI's taxonomy places the organism in Eukaryota, Metazoa, Chordata, Actinopteri, Salmoniformes, Salmonidae.